RNAcentral lists this long non-coding RNA (814 nucleotides) under Equus caballus (horse). Its description in RNAcentral is "lncRNA (ENSECAG00000049047.1)". Lineage: Eukaryota; Metazoa; Chordata; Mammalia; Perissodactyla; Equidae. The record is from RNAcentral.
CGUCAUAGGAGCCGUGCAGAAUGUUGGGAGAGUUCUGACUUCCAUUCCUCAUUGGUGGAAGGCAGCCCCGGGAACACUGUCUACCCUGCACCUUCUGGCAGAUGUGGCCUGCAAGGAGGCUGAGCAGGCUCCGGCAGCACCAGAAAGAGCCUCAGGUAUGCAGCUUGAGAGUGGAUGCAGGCAGCAUACAGGGAACUGUUCAUCACAGCCGCGGGGAAUCAGAGGCAGCUUGGAUAAUGGGGCUGCUCUGUGGUUAAAUGAGAAGAAACACGCCCAGUGCCUGGUACACAAAUACCAGCAGGGUAGUGAGGUCACUGUCUUCGUUCUGGAGCAUAAAGACCUGAGGCUCUGGAAAGAGAGGACCAGGCUCUUCCUGAACCUCUGCUUCGUCAACUGUAAAACAGAGUUGCAAGGGGACAAGGCCAGGGAGAGGAGGCCCAGAGCAGGCCGCAGGUAUCCCGCACAGUUGUGGCAGCAGCUCCUGCGUUUCCCAGUGGCCCCCUCUUCAUUCCAUUCACCUGAGACUGUGACUGGUGGACAGCCGGCCAGCACCCCGCCCUGGGCUCCGCUGUGCCCCAAUCUGCUCUGCCAAGACGGCAGAGCUUCCAAGACCUGAGGCCACCUUUCACCUUCCUUUGGGCCUCAGCCUUAGGUCUCCCUGCUUCUGGCCCGUGUGUCACCCCCAGCAAAGAGGAACAGUGGCCCAGGUCUUCAAAACUCAACCAGUAUGCCAGACAGCUGGAAGCUAUGUCAGAAUUAGAUUUCACUGCUUAUUUAUUUUGAUCCAUUUUUCUACCAAAACUCUCUUUUCUGC